Molecule: unclassified non-coding RNA, 2343 nt
Filed under: Sipha flava (yellow sugarcane aphid)
Lineage: Eukaryota; Metazoa; Arthropoda; Insecta; Hemiptera; Aphididae
Description: putative mediator of RNA polymerase II transcription subunit 26, transcript variant X5
Source: RNAcentral
CUAGCAAUUUUUAUAACACAUAAAGAAAAACAUUUCAAGAUAAAAACAAAGCUGCUAUAGGGUUAUUAAAAAUGAUUAAAGUAUGAAUACAGGAAGUUAUCCUACAUUUGUGACCGCUGCGCCGGCAACUUCAUUCAACCCCUGUUCAAGUGCAAAUAUGACUCAGGUGAAUGCGGGCAAUAAAUUUACCAAUGUCCAACAACAGACAGCUACAGUAAAUACUAAUACAGUAGUUAAUACUUCUAAUACAAGCGGACAAGUUGUUGCAUUAUUAAACAGUGAUGAAGCUGGCGUUACUUACUUAAGACCACUUGAUUCAAAUGGUUUUGCUGUUAAUUUAGCUGGUGUUGGAUCUUCUAACCAACAAGGACAAAUAUUUACUAUUCCCAUAACUGUUCCUGGUUCAAAGCCUGGUGAACAAAGCCAAACUAUACAAAUUCAAGUUGUUGGUCAAGGUGGUAUAUCUGGAGAUAAACUAUUGCCAGUUUUUGGACCUGUGUUACAGUUAGCAUAUAACCAACAACAAGACAAUGGAAGCAUUCAACUUCAAUUACAACAAGAUGGUGAUGUUUCAAAUGACCAAAUACAUAAUAAUAAUAAUGAUUCCAUGCAAUCAUCUGACUUAUUGCAAGAAGUUCAAGAAGACCAAGAGAUGAUACAAGAUGUUAAACCAGUAAUUAUCGAACAAAGCAGCACAGAUAGUAAUGGUAUGCAAUUUCCAUUGGCCGUUGUGGUAAAUCAAGAUAUGGUAGUGCGGCGUAAUCAGCAAGAUAACAAAAUAAUUGGCGAUCAAAAAGAUAAUCAGGCGGACAAACGAUUAAGAAUUCAAAAUGAACAAGAUUCAGCCAGUCAAUAUGUGAUGACUUAUUCAUCUAACACAAGCAAUUCUGUUUCAUUAGCUGAUUAUAUAUCAAUGAAUCAUGAUAAUAUUCCUCUUGGACACUUUUUAAAAUUUUCACCUGAUAAUAAUAAAAGAGAGAGUAUGGAAUCAACUGGGACUCAAGAAGAUGGCAAUAGUGAAAUGGUUGUGUAUGAAGAUGCUAAUAGUCAAGAAAAGGGUAAAAGGAAAAAAAAAUACAAAAAGAAACCACCAGCUGCUCGAAAACCUCGACCUGGGCAAAUACAUAUUGCUACUGCCUUAGAUGGUACUCUUUUGUUUUGUUGUCCAGAAUGUAGUAUGGCUUACCCAGAUAAAGAAAUGCUUGAACAACAUUUAGUUGCUCAUAAAAUAGAAAGAAGAUUUAUUUGUGAUCUUUGUGGUGCUGGACUUAAACGUAAAGAACAUUUAGAACGGCAUAAAUUAGGUCAUAAUCCAGAACGUCCUUUUGUGUGUAAUGUGUGUUGUAAAGGUUUCAAGAGAAAAGAACAUUUAAAUUUGCAUGCUGUAAUCCAUUCAGGUGUAAAGACUGAAGUAUGUCAGGAUUGUGGUAAAGGUUUUUAUAGACGAGAUCAUUUAAGAAAGCACACUCAAAGUCAUAUUACCAAACGUCUAAAAGAAGAGCAUGCUGCGCUUCAACAAUUAGCUGAACAAGUAACAGUAUCUGAUCGCCAAAAAUUGUCUGUCCCAGAGUUGAUUCAAAAUCAAGCUCAUUCUACACCAAUCAUUAAUCUGGCUCAUCAAGAAAUGAUUAUUGAUGCUGUUGCUAGUGGAAGACACACCCCUACCCCUCCUAAUGAUCAUCAAAUUGUCAUUACCAAAGGAAACCAAAAACUUACUGAACAAGAAUUAAUUAUAUUGCAACAGCAACAAAUUCAACAGCAGCAGCAACAAAUACAACAACAACAACAGCAGCAGCAGCAGCAGCAGCAGCAACAACAACAACAACAACAACAACAGCAGCAGCAGCAACAGCAACAACAACCAAAUAGUCCAAAUAUAGCUCAACAAGAGAUGAUUAUUGAAGCUGUAGGACAACAACAACAAAGUCCGUCUUCACCACAUGUAGAACAUCAUCAAGUAGUUAUUACUAAACUGGAACCAAAUGAAGACUCUAGAGAAAACGAAAGUAUUGUAUUGACUCAGACAGAUGCUAGAGAAGCACUUGGUUUACUGCACCAUCAACCUCAAUGACCUCUACUCUCAAUUACUAAGGUGACAAUUAAACAGAAACCACCAUAAUAAUAGGAUUGUGGGGAGAGAAGAACAUUGAUCCCUUUUCAAUUGAGUGAAAAUAAAAUUUUUACCAAACCUUUUAUUUGUUGCGGACAUGAUAUUGUUAUCCAAAUGAAAAAAUGAAACCUUUAAUAAUCACAUUUAUUGAUAUUUAAAUUUCAAUAAUAAAUCAAGAUCAUAGAAAACUACUGUUGGUGUACUAUUGAUUAUAUAUUUUCUAUUUUUUUAAA